GGGAAGGUGGCUCAGUGGUAGAGUACUUGCCUUGCAUGCAUGAGGUCCUAGAUUCAAUUCCUCAUCACCA
Molecule: transfer RNA, 70 nt
Filed under: Dipodomys ordii (Ord's kangaroo rat)
Lineage: Eukaryota; Metazoa; Chordata; Mammalia; Rodentia; Heteromyidae
Rfam family: tRNA
About the family: Transfer RNA (tRNA) molecules are approximately 80 nucleotides in length. Their secondary structure includes four short double-helical elements and three loops (D, anti-codon, and T loops). Further hydrogen bonds mediate the characteristic L-shaped molecular structure. tRNAs have two regions of fundamental functional importance: the anti-codon, which is responsible for specific mRNA codon recognition, and the 3' end, to which the tRNAs corresponding amino acid is attached (by aminoacyl-tRNA synthetases). tRNAs cope with the degeneracy of the genetic code in two manners: having more than one tRNA (with a specific anti-codon) for a particular amino acid; and 'wobble' base-pairing, i.e. permitting non-standard base-pairing at the 3rd anti-codon position.
Source: Rfam by way of RNAcentral